CGGUGUACAUGUCUCAAAGCAUAAGCAUCUUUUAAAUUUCACUUUCGGUUUCUUAGAAGAAUAUGUUUUUAAGAAGUUGAAUCAAAUAAGAACGUUUUCUUUAUUAGUAAUGUGGCGAAUGAGAAUCAUCGACAAUCAUAUGUGCCCUCAUCAUGCCAACCUUUUUUUGCUGCAUGAGUUGUUUCUGUUGAAAACACCUCCUGUUAGGUAUAAUCCAAUGUCUUGGCUCUGUAGUUUUGAUUUUUUUUUUUUUUUUGUAACUAGUCUGUAGUUUUGAUGAUUUUCUCGGAUCGUGUUUCUAUUAUUGUAAGCAAAUCUUUGUUUCUAAAUUUAAUAUUUAGUCGAAAGGAAAAGAAAGAGCUCUCUUAUA
Molecule: long non-coding RNA, 370 nt
Filed under: Brassica napus (rape)
Lineage: Eukaryota; Viridiplantae; Streptophyta; Magnoliopsida; Brassicales; Brassicaceae
Description: long non-coding RNA (BNAP_LNC022049)
Source: RNAcentral